GAUGAACGCUGGCGGCGUGCCUAAUACAUGCAAGUCGAGCGAACAGACGAGGAGCUUGCUCCUCUGACGUUAGCGGCGGACGGGUGAGUAACACGUGGAUAACCUACCUAUAAGACUGGGAUAACUUCGGGAAACCGGAGCUAAUACCGGAUAAUAUAUUGAACCGCAUGGUUCAAUAGUGAAAGACGGUUUUGCUUUCCCUUAUAGAUGGAUCCGCGCCUAUUUAGCUAGUUGGUAAGGUAACGGCUUACCAAGGCGACGAUGCGUAGCCGACCUGAGAGGGUGGUCGGCCACACUGGAACUGAGACACGGUCAAGACUCCUACGGGAGGCAGCAGUAGGGAAUCUUACGCAAUGGGCGAAAGCCUGACGGAGCAACGCCGCGUGAGUGAUGAAGGUCUUCGGAUCGUAAAACUCUGUUAUUAGGGAAGAACAAAUGUGUAAGUAACUAUGCACGUAGUGACGGUACCUAAUCAGAAAGCCACGGCUAACUACGUG
RNAcentral lists this ribosomal RNA (497 nucleotides) under uncultured bacterium. RNAcentral's name for it is "partial 16S ribosomal RNA". It matches the Rfam family "Bacterial small subunit ribosomal RNA", at positions 28 to 507 of the family's 1533-position model. The record is from RNAcentral.